Molecule: non-coding RNA, 94 nt
Organism: Panus rudis PR-1116 ss-1
Lineage: Eukaryota; Fungi; Basidiomycota; Agaricomycetes; Polyporales; Panaceae
Source: the annotation of a GenBank genome assembly
UCGGAUAUGGUGUAACGGCUAACAUUACCGCUUUUCAAAAGUGAUACACGAUCAUUGUUCGCGGUAGCUCGGGGUUCGAUUCCCCGUAUCCGAG